RNAcentral lists this ribosomal RNA (261 nucleotides) under uncultured bacterium. RNAcentral describes it as "partial 16S ribosomal RNA". It matches the Rfam family "Bacterial small subunit ribosomal RNA", at positions 524 to 776 of the family's 1533-position model. The record is from RNAcentral.
UACGAAGGGGGGCUAGCGUUGCUCGGAUUUUACUGGGCGUAAAGGGCGCGUAGGCGGACAUUUUAAGUCAGGGGUGAAAUCCCGGGGGCUCAACCUCGGAACUGCCUUUGAUACUGGGUGUCUUGAGUGUGAGAGAGGUAUGUGGAACUCCGAGUGUAAGAGGUGAAAUUCGUAGAUAUUCGGAAGAACACCAGUGGCGAAGGCGACAUACUGGCUCAUUUACUGACGCUGAGGCGCGAAAAGCGUGGGGGAGCAAACAGG